GCGAUUGGGGUUAUACGCUGUAGAGUUGUUCUGUGUGCUACAGGGUAUCGCGAUCGUAUGUGAUCUGGUGGAGUCGCGUGAAAAUAUCGAACGAUUCGGAGAUGGUAUCUGUAUCUUAACGUCGCUCAUAGUGGUACUAACGAAGCGAUGGUUCUGUAGGUUUUAUAUCGACGAGCUGCAUGACUUCGUCGAACAAUACCGUAUCGGGUUAGACCUCUAUCGGCAUCGUGAACAGCAGUUCGUUCAGCAGCUUCUCUCCCGCCACCGAUUGGAAUGGCUGCUGAGCAUGGAUUUCGCUACAUUAUGAACGGAGCUACCAGUAGCACAUGGACCCGAGAGCCGAAAUGAAACCGUAGAUACACGCAUUAGACAGCUAUUAUUGCGUCACCAACAUUUGCUGGAGUUGGGCAACCAGGUGAAGGAACUACUCGAACCGAAUAUAAUAGGACAGUUCAUAGCUAGCAUUAUCAUGAUCAACCAGAUCCUUAUGUGAAGUUUAUUCGGUGAUCUCGUCGCCCAAAAGUCCUUGAGCGUUUCCGAUGGAAUUGCCAGCUGUAACUGGAUCGUACUCGAUAGCAGACAGAAGAAGGAUCUCUCUUUCAUCAUGAUGCGAGCUCAGAAACCCUUCAUCAUCAGCGUGUACCGGAUGUUCCCCUUAACCUACGAAACGUUCUUGGCGAUUCUGAGUCGCUCAUACUCAAUAUUUACCAUCUUGACGGAAAUGAUUGAGUGAUGCUUUACAUAUUCACAACACAAAGGAAUUCUUGACAAAUUUUACAACCUAAUGCACGGUGGUAGGGAUGCCACGGAUAGCGUGUUAAUUGCUGCACACUGAAUGCUGAACUAGUCUGAUGGUCAUACACUAAAUCAUGCAAUUGAAUACCUAUUGCACUAGCAUAAAUCAUUAGUGCACGUACAGUAAAACAGCACAAAGCCACAAGAACUGUGAAUGCGUUUGCCGUUAAUAUAAACUUGCACUACGGUUGUCGCCAGU
Anopheles aquasalis is the source of this 994-nucleotide long non-coding RNA. RefSeq lists it as uncharacterized. The record is from RefSeq and is a predicted model, not a curated record. Lineage: Eukaryota; Metazoa; Arthropoda; Insecta; Diptera; Culicidae.